AUUGAACGCUGGCGGCAUGCCUUACACAUGCAAGUCGAACGGCAGCACGGGUGCUUGCACCUGGUGGCGAGUGGCGAACGGGUGAGUAAUACAUCGGAACGUACCUUAUCGUGGGGGAUAACGCAGCGAAAGCUGUGCUAAUACCGCAUACGCCCUGAGAGGGAAAGCGGGGGAUCGCAAGACCUCGCGCGACUAGAGCGGCCGAUGCCUGAUUAGCUUGUUGGUGGGGUAAAAGCCCACCAAGGCGACGAUCAGUAGCUGGUCUGAGAGGACGAUCAGCCACACUGGGACUGAGACACGGCCCAGACUCCUACGGGAGGCAGCAGUGGGGAAUUUUGGACAAUGGGGGCAACCCUGAUCCAGCAAUGCCGCGUGAGUGAAGAAGGCCUUCGGGUUGUAAAGCUCUUUUGUCAGGGAAGAAACACCGGCUCUAACACAGUCCGGGAAUGACGGUACCUGAAGAAUAAGCACCGGCUAACUACGUGCCAGCCGCCGCCGUAA
This 501-nucleotide ribosomal RNA is filed under the name uncultured bacterium. Its description in RNAcentral is "partial 16S ribosomal RNA". It matches the Rfam family "Bacterial small subunit ribosomal RNA", at positions 29 to 523 of the family's 1533-position model. The record is from RNAcentral.